RNAcentral lists this ribosomal RNA (176 nucleotides) under Helicobacter pylori. Its description in RNAcentral is "partial 23S ribosomal RNA". It matches the Rfam family "Bacterial large subunit ribosomal RNA", at positions 1922 to 2097 of the family's 2925-position model. The record is from RNAcentral. Lineage: Bacteria; Pseudomonadati; Campylobacterota; Epsilonproteobacteria; Campylobacterales; Helicobacteraceae.
AGUAAACGGCGGCCGUAACUAUAACGGUCCUAAGGUAGCGAAAUUCCUUGUCGGUUAAAUACCGACCUGCAUGAAUGGCGUAACGAGAUGGGAGCUGUCUCAACCAGAGAUUCAGUGAAAUUGUAGUGGAGGUGAAAAUUCCUCCUACCCGCGGCAAGACGGAGAGACCCCGUGGA